Molecule: ribosomal RNA, 274 nt
Filed under: uncultured bacterium
Lineage: Bacteria
Description: partial 16S ribosomal RNA
Rfam family: Bacterial small subunit ribosomal RNA
Source: RNAcentral
AUACGGAGGGGGCUAGCGUUGUUCGGAAUUACUGGGCGUAAAGCGCUCGUAGGCGGUUUGUUAAGUCGGAUGUGAAAGCCCCGGGCUCAACCUGGGAACUGCAUUCGAUACUGGCAAACUAGAGUAUAGUAGAGGCAAGUGGAAUUCCGGGUGUAGCGGUGAAAUGCGUAGAUAUCCGGAGGAACAUCAGUGGCGAAGGCGACUUGCUGGACUAAUACUGACGCUGAGGAGCGAAAGCGUGGGGAGCAAACGGGAGUAGAAACCCCAGUAGUCC